RNAcentral lists this ribosomal RNA (253 nucleotides) under uncultured bacterium. Its description in RNAcentral is "partial 16S ribosomal RNA". It matches the Rfam family "Bacterial small subunit ribosomal RNA", at positions 524 to 776 of the family's 1533-position model. The record is from RNAcentral.
UACGGGGGGGGCAAGCGUUGUUCGGAAUUACUGGGCGUACAGGGCUCGUAGGCGGCCAACUAAGUCGGACGUGAAAUCCCCAGGCUCAACCUGGGAACUGCGUCCGAUACUGGAUGGCUUGAAUCCGGGAGAGGGAUGCAGAAUUCCAGGUGUAGCGGGGAAAUGCGCAGAUAUCAGGAGGAACACCGAUGGCGAAGGCAGAGCUCUGGGCCGUAACUGACGCUGAGGAGCGAAAGCAUGGGGAGCGAACAGG